Long non-coding RNA from Ruditapes philippinarum (Manila clam), 267 nucleotides. RefSeq lists it as uncharacterized. Lineage: Eukaryota; Metazoa; Mollusca; Bivalvia; Venerida; Veneridae. The transcript has 2 exons. The record is from RefSeq and is a predicted model, not a curated record.
UCAGGAUGCUGCAUAAAAUGGUCUAAGCUAGAGCCUAGAAUGUUAAUUUCUUGUGAAUAUGCUGCAGGGAACUGACGGGGAGCAGUUUUUCUUACCAAUCAUAGAAGCAGUAAGAGACAGCCAAAGAAGUACUCAAACACCUGACAUACCCAGAAAGAUCUAGAAGAAAAGAUUGGAACAGAUUGUAGCUUAAUUGUUAAAACUAUUUAAGUGAAUUUAAGCUGCACUUGAACUGUAUUUUUUAAAUAAAAUAUCUGAAGUAUUUAA